Molecule: ribosomal RNA, 318 nt
Filed under: Spumella elongata
Lineage: Eukaryota; Chrysophyceae; Chromulinales; Chromulinaceae
Description: partial Bacterial large subunit ribosomal RNA
Rfam family: Bacterial large subunit ribosomal RNA
Source: RNAcentral
GGAGAAGGUCCCAAGGGUUCGGCUGUUCGCCGAUUAAAGUGGCACGCGAGCUGGGUUCAGAACGUCGCGAGACAGUUCGGUCCCUAUCUGUUGUGGGCGUUGGAAUUUUGAGUGGGGCUGACCUUAGUACGAGAGGACCGGGUUGGACUAGCCUCUAGUGAAUCUGUUGUUCCGCCAGGGGCAUUGCAGAGUAGCUACGCUGGGAAUAGAUAAGCGCUGAAAGCAUCUAAGUGCGAAACUAGCCACGAGAUGAGAAUUCCAUAUAGGACCGUAGAAGACUACUACGUUGAUAGGCUAUAGAUGUAAAGGUGGCGACAC